GCACAUCAGAGAUCUUCAUGCAUGUGAGUGAGCAUCUCUUUGGGGGCACUUUGUAAUGCAGCAAUAACUGACCGACACAGGUGGUCUACGUGCCAGGUCAGACAGCCGACAGAUGGUGUUUUACGUAUGUGUACCAGGAAACUUGAACAUGCACGACAUCUCAGCUCUCCAUCUUACAGAAGGGCACGGAGAACUGGGAAGUGUUAUGCUUGGGGACCCACAAAGCCAGUGAUUGGACAGAGAGAGAAGUAACUAUGGAUGUUGAUUCUAGAAUUCCGGAACUGGGCUCCUGUCACAUAGCUGUGCUCUGAAACAGAGCCCACCUUUACUGCUUUGAAAAAUUCUAGUAUCAAAGAGCUACACGAAUAAACCAACGAAUCACAGACCUCGAAACUCUCUCUGUCUCCCUCCCCACCGCUUUCCUCUCUUCGUCUCUUCCUCUCUUCCUCUCUCCGUCUCUCUCUCUCUCUCUUUCAAUUGAGGGAUAGAGACAGUGUGGUAUAGUUAAAGUACACUGGAGAAAGGGUCAAGAAAACUAUGUUCCACUGCUGACUCUGCCACUCUCCCUCUGAGACUUUGGCUAAGUUACUUUACCUCUUGGAGCUUCGCUUUCCUCAUCAGGAAAGCAGAGCUGGUAAUACUUCUGCCUCGCAGAGGAAUUGAAGGGAUUUAUGAAAUAACAAUUCUAGAGCGCUCACGAGAACGUCUGGCUCAAGCUCUGCCUCUGGGGAGAAGCAGUCAACAGGUAUUUACUGAGCACCUACGACAGACCGGGCUCUGCACCAGCCCUGGGAAUGCUGCGGCAAAUGAAACGACACUCACGGAGACAUUUAGUCUGGAGCAGCUCUGUCCAACAGAAAUCCAAUCCAGGGAUUGGUAACAGCCCCUGUCUGGCUCCUCCUCAGCGCUUCACUCUUCCUUCCUGGUUCCCGUGAGCCCCUCCACACCUCUGUAAAAUGCACCUUCAUUAAACUCUCUUCAUUUGCCCUUCUGAGUGUUCCUGCCACUUCACAUGUGAUCAGGGAGCUUUGGCUUGAAGGACAAGGAGUCAGCCAAGAUGAAACCUGGGCAAGGAUGCUGCUUGAGGCAGAGGGGAUGCAGGAGCAAAGGGCUUGCAGAGAACAAACUAGAUGUAUCACAAGAACAAGAGGAAAGCCAAAGGAAGCCGAGGUCAGCAAGAAACAAGAGAGCGGAAAAAGUGAGAUGGGAGAUGUGUGGGGCCAAAUCACGCAGGGACUCGUGCUAGAGGAGGAACUCUGCAGUUUAUUCUAAGCACAGUAGAACCCCCUGCAGGGUUUGGAGUUGGAGAGUAACAUGUCUGACUGAUGCUUUCAAAAUCCAUGAUCUGCACCAAAAAAGAGAAAUAAAGCAUAGCAAAACAAAACCAAAAACAAAUGCCAAAACGAUGGGGACAUAUUAAAAAGUCACAGGAGCCAAGCUGAAAGAACUCUUAAUGGCCAAACUGGAACGUUGUCAGCAACAAAAUACGUAAUGAUGGUGUUGGAUUAUAACCAAAGAGGAAAAUACAUAUUCAUGAGCCUAUACUCAUAAAUGAUUGAAUAAGUAAAUAAAUGGAGGGGAAAGGCUGACACUUCCUUACAGAAGAAUUCCAAUUAAUAAAUAGAGAAGGAAUGAG
RNAcentral lists this long non-coding RNA (1636 nucleotides) under Equus caballus (horse). RNAcentral describes it as "lncRNA (ENSECAG00000054685.1)". Lineage: Eukaryota; Metazoa; Chordata; Mammalia; Perissodactyla; Equidae. The record is from RNAcentral.